Molecule: ribosomal RNA, 253 nt
Filed under: uncultured bacterium
Lineage: Bacteria
Description: partial 16S ribosomal RNA
Rfam family: Bacterial small subunit ribosomal RNA
Source: RNAcentral
GACGGGGGGGGCUAGUGUUAUUCGGAAUGACUAGGCGUAAAGGGCACGUAGGCGGUGAAUCCGGUUGAACGUGAAAGUCGCCAGCUCAACUGGCGGAAUGCUUUCAAAACCAAUUCACUUGAGUAAGAUAGAGGAUAGUGGAAUUUCGUGUGUAGAGAUAAAAUUUACAGAUAUACGAAGGAACACCAAAAGCGAAGGCAGCUUUCUGGGUCUCUACUGACGCUGAGGUGCGAAAGCAUAGGGAGCAAACAGG